UUCAUUCAAGUUUGGGAUCUUCCUGUUUUUUGCUGGCUGGAUAACCAUCAUGACCAUAUUUGUUGUUUUGUUCCUACCUGAAACUAAGGGAAUUCCCAUUGAAGAGAUGGCAAUUAUGUGGAAGAAACACUGGUUUUGGAAAAGGAUACUACCAUAGACUGUAGACAGCUGAAGAUACAUUAUAGGGUAAAAAGUUUCAGGGAGCCAGAUGAUGCAGUUUGACUAUAAUUAAUUACAUAUGUUAUAAGCUACUAAUGAUGCCUUAUAUAAUUGAAAUUUUCAUACAAUGUCGAUCCUUUGCCCUUCAUUUACUCUAUAAUUGAUUCUGAUUUGAAAUUAUAAUAUGUAGUUUUUGUUGAUACAAAAGAUUUUUAGUGCCAAAUUUAUUAUUCAAACGUAAUUCACUUUACAUUCAAUUAACUUUUGGCCGGAAUCAAUUCGUUUAAAAUCAUUCUUUGCCCCCAUAGAACCAGACACAUGAGUGGAAAGUGAGCAUGUUGAAUUAGAUCAUAAAAGGAAUAAAGCAAAAUAUUUAUAUAUUGUUCAUGUAGUGAUCUCAAUUUUCAAACACAUAAGGAAUGAAGUAGACACCCUAUUCAGUAUGGCAAUGAGAAAUAUUGGUGAUAAUAAUACAUGAGGACUAUGACUAGGGUUCAUAGUUCAAAAUAACGAAUUAUAGGUAUACCUGAUAUUACAAAGUUCGCCAUGAUGGUGUUCAAAGGUAUUGUAAUUCCCAUGAAGUUCCAAAAGAGUUCCAAGCAUGAUCUAAAAUUGAUUGUGAUGUGAGACAUGAUCUACCAUAUUGAGUGAUGAUGAUUAUGCAAUUGCAGGAACAAGCUCUUGUGUAGUAAGUAUGAGGCAGAAGUCUGUGUUGUUUGGAAAAUUCUUGCCAUUGUUAUAUAAAAAUUC
This 909-nucleotide long non-coding RNA is filed under the name Medicago truncatula (barrel medic). RNAcentral's name for it is "long non-coding RNA (MTRU_LNC007222)". The record is from RNAcentral. Lineage: Eukaryota; Viridiplantae; Streptophyta; Magnoliopsida; Fabales; Fabaceae.